Molecule: small RNA, 110 nt
Filed under: Marmota monax (woodchuck)
Lineage: Eukaryota; Metazoa; Chordata; Mammalia; Rodentia; Sciuridae
Source: RNAcentral
GCUGGGCACGGUGGCUCAGGCCUGUAAUCCCAACGGCUCAGGAGGCUAAGGCAGGAGGAUCUCGAGUUCAAAAGCGAGACACUAAGCAACUCAGUGAGACCCUGUCUCUA